This 253-nucleotide ribosomal RNA is filed under the name uncultured bacterium. RNAcentral describes it as "partial 16S ribosomal RNA". It matches the Rfam family "Bacterial small subunit ribosomal RNA", at positions 524 to 776 of the family's 1533-position model. The record is from RNAcentral.
UACGAAGGGGGCUAGCGUUGCUCGGAAUUACUGGGCGUAAAGCGCACGUAGGCGGUCUUUUAAGUCGGUGGUGAAAUCUUGGAGCUCAACUCCAGAACUGCCUUCGAUACUGGAAGACUUGAGUCCGGGAGAGGUGAGUGGAACUGCGAGUGUAGAGGUGAAAUUCGUAGAUAUUCGCAAGAACACCAGUGGCGAAGGCGGCUCACUGGCCCGGUACUGACGCUGAGGUGCGAAAGCGUGGGGAGCAAACAGG